Molecule: long non-coding RNA, 1148 nt
Organism: Mastomys coucha (southern multimammate mouse)
Lineage: Eukaryota; Metazoa; Chordata; Mammalia; Rodentia; Muridae
Exons: 5
Source: RefSeq, a predicted model, not a curated record
UGCACCUCUCAAGGGCUUUGAAAAUGCUGCAAGGGACAGAUGACAAAGGGACAAGAUACCUAAUUUACAUGGAUUCUAAACAGGCAGAGGUUCAGUAGCUGAGGACUGCCAAGGCCUGAUUCGCCUUUUAGUGGGACAUGCCUUGCCAUCCAAGAGAGGAAAAAUGCAGGACGUGAGAGAACAAGACAGAAGCAGGCGCAUGCAACAGUUUCCAUUCUUCCUUGUACAAGAGAGCAGCAGACGCUCCAGCCCUUUGCUGUUACUGCUUCAAAUCUUUCCAAGAAGCCUUGGCAAAAUUCUCACAGUCUUUCAUUGACUCUAAAGAAGUACCCUACCAGACUCUAAAUCUAUCCCCAUGAAAAGGCAGUGGAUGUGCUUCUGGAUCAGGCCAUAGGUCUCUCCCUGAGUUUGGAGCUCACUGAUGGAGUUUGGUCUCAGCGCGGAUCCCACUGCUUUUGCUUCUUACAGCAGAAGUAGGGGCUGAGCUUGUGGAGGAAGGCAGCCAAAAGCGGACCCCAGCCUCACAGACCCUCACAGCCACUCACAGUAGUACGGCCUGUUCCUGGUCUUGAACAUCUUGGGAUUGGAAAUUUGACUGGGGCGACAUGGGCCUGGGUACGGAGCAGUCUACUGAGGAAGCCUCAGGAUCCCAGAGAAGGAAGGAAAAGUGCCCAGCCCUCAGAAGCCACACACAUAGGCACCCUUAGCCUGGCUGGUACCGAGAGCAUGCCUCGUCUCUCAGCGGAGAGGGAGAGAACUGGAAGCAUCAUCGCUGAAGCCUAAGGACACGAGCUCGACACCUGGUGAGGUGUGGCCACAGAGCCAAGGAAGGAGAGGAAGAUGAAGAUGCUGCUUUGAAAGGAAUCACCUACGAAGGUGUACAGACAACAUGCCAGCAGGGAACAGUGUUCGGGAUCUAAUAUGGAGCACAUAGGCCUGAAGACAGAAAAUAUUCAACAGCAUUGAAAAUGCAAAUUAUAUAAGCAACAGGAAUGAAGAAGGCUAUCUGGGGUGAGGGCUGGGCCCGGUGUUGGUGGUUGAUCCCCACAGGAUUGGGUCCUGAACCCACAAUGUCCUGUACUUGCUGAGUAUGGAAUAUCUUUUACCAUAGUAAAGACUACCAUUGUCUUCACUUGAAAUAUGAGAAA